RNAcentral lists this ribosomal RNA (376 nucleotides) under uncultured bacterium. Its description in RNAcentral is "bacterial SSU rRNA". It matches the Rfam family "Bacterial small subunit ribosomal RNA", at positions 28 to 404 of the family's 1533-position model. The record is from RNAcentral.
GACGAACGCUGGCGGCGUGCUUAUCACAUGCAAGUCGAGCGGUAAGGCCCUUUCGGGGGUACACGAGCGGCGAACGGGUGAGUAACACGUGGGUGACCUGCCCUCAGCUCUGGGAUAAGCCUGGGAAACCGGGUCUAAUACUGGAUAUGACUCCAUGACGCAUGUUGUGGGGUGGAAAGCCUUGUGCGGCUGAGGAUGGGCCCGCGGCCUAUCAGCUUGUUGGUGGGGUGAUGGCCUACCAAGGCGACGACGGGUAGCCGGCCUGAGAGGCGACCGGCCACACUGGGACUGAGACACGGCCCAGACUCCGUACGGGAGGCAGCAGGUGGGGAAUCUUGCGCAACGGGCGAAAGCCUGACGCAGCGACGCCGCGUGA